This 473-nucleotide ribosomal RNA is filed under the name uncultured organism. Its description in RNAcentral is "partial 16S ribosomal RNA". It matches the Rfam family "Bacterial small subunit ribosomal RNA", at positions 333 to 797 of the family's 1533-position model. The record is from RNAcentral.
ACACUCCUGCGGGAGGCAGCAGUGGGGAAUUUUGGACAAUGGGCGAAAGCCUGAUCCAGCAAUGCCGCGUGCAGGAUGAAGGCCUUCGGGUUGUAAACUGCUUUUGUACGGAACGAAAAAGCUCCUUCUAAUACAGGGGGCCCAUGACGGUACCGUAAGAAUAAGCACCGGCUAACUACGUGCCAGCAGCCGCGGUAAUACGUAGGGUGCGAGCGUUAAUCGGAAUUACUGGGCGUAAAGCGUGCGCAGGCGGUUAUGUAAGACAGAUGUGAAAUCCCCGGGCUCAACCUGGGAACUGCAUUUGUGACUGCAUGGCUAGAGUACGGUAGAGGGGGAUGGAAUUCCGCGUGUAGCAGUGAAAUGCGUAGAUAUGCGGAGGAACACCGAUGGCGAAGGCAAUCCCCUGGACCUGUACUGACGCUCAUGCACGAAAGCGUGGGGAGCAAACAGGAUUAGAAACCCGGGUAGUCCCA